This 254-nucleotide ribosomal RNA is filed under the name uncultured bacterium. Its description in RNAcentral is "partial 16S ribosomal RNA". It matches the Rfam family "Bacterial small subunit ribosomal RNA", at positions 524 to 776 of the family's 1533-position model. The record is from RNAcentral.
UACGUAGGGUGCAAGCGUUGUCCGGAAUUAUUGGGCGUAAAGAGCUCGUAGGCGGUCUGUUGCGUCGGCUGUGAAAACCCGGGGCUCAACUCCGGGCCUGCAGCCGAUACGGGCAGACUAGAGUUCGGCAGGGGAGACUGGAAUUCCUGGUGUAGCGGUGAAAUGCGCAGAUAUCAGGAGGAACACCGGUGGCGAAGGCGGGUCUCUGGGGCCGAUACUGACGCUGAGGAGCGAAAGCGUGGGGAGCGAACAGG